AGUGAACGCUGGCGGUAGGCCUAACACAUGCAAGUCGAACGGCAGCACAGUAAGAGCUUGCUCUUACGGGUGGCGAGUGGCGGACGGGUGAGGAAUACAUCGGAAUCUACUUUUUCGUGGGGGAUAACGUAGGGAAACUUACGCUAAUACCGCAUACGACCUACGGGUGAAAGCAGGGGAUCUUCGGACCUUGCGCGAUUGAAUGAGCCGAUGUCGGAGUAGCUAGUUGGCGGGGUAAAGGCCCACCAAGGCGACGAUCGGUAGCUGGUCUGAGAGGAUGACCGGCCACAUUGGGACAGAGAUACGGCCCAGACUCAUAGGGGAGGCAGCAGGGGGGAAUAUUGAACGAUGGGCGGAAGACUGAUGCAGCAAAGCCGCGGGCGGGAUGACGGCCUUCGGGUUGUAAACCGAUUUCGCCGGUGAAGAAGCGUGAGUGAGGGUAAUGGGUAAAGAAGAAACGGCUAACUACGUG
Molecule: ribosomal RNA, 472 nt
Filed under: uncultured bacterium
Lineage: Bacteria
Description: partial 16S ribosomal RNA
Rfam family: Bacterial small subunit ribosomal RNA
Source: RNAcentral